CAGGUGAUUCAGAAUAGAGAUCCAGGCUUAUUUUAGCUCCCUGUAUUUUCUUUCUUUCUUUCUACAAGGUUUUAGUUUCAUCAACUUGGAGGGUUUAUUUUUGCUCCCUCAAGUUUGGUCCUUUUUUUUCAAGCUUUUUUAGGAUUUUGGUUUGGGCUUUAAAAAACUUACAUUUUUAUCUUGUUCUCUUGUUUGCUGUUUAUAUAAAACCAGUUCUCCCUGUUCUUGAAUUUUGUUAAGUAACAGGUUAAUUUGAAGAUCUUUCUUUGUCUUUGAGAUUGAGAAAGGUAUGGCAGCAGCUAUAGAUUUCUACAAAAGCAGCACAACACCAGGUUUCUCAAUUAUAGAUCCUUGUAGAGAAG
This 362-nucleotide unclassified non-coding RNA is filed under the name Hevea brasiliensis (rubber tree). Lineage: Eukaryota; Viridiplantae; Streptophyta; Magnoliopsida; Malpighiales; Euphorbiaceae. The record is from RNAcentral.